AAAAAUAAGAUAUUUCAAAGCCUAACUUCCAUCUGAAGGUCUAAAUUUAAAUAUGUACCGUCUGAAUAUCGCUUCUUUUUGCUUCAUGACUAGCCCUUGUCCAGUUUAAAAAAUAAUAAUCACUGACAUAGGUUGCUCGAUGCAGCUAUCACCACAAGAUCCUGCCCCAUCUUUUAGCAUUUGGCUGAAAAAUAUCCUACAGCAUCAUCGACAACCCUCCAUCGUAACUUUUGAUAUCUUCAUACCCUAUUGUCUUUGGGUUAUAUGGACCUAUCGCAAUAAACACCUCUUCUAAGGGCAACAUGGCGCUCUAUCCCUAGCUCUUACAUUAAACCUAGCAACACAAUAUCGGUACCUUGUAGGUGAUUCAAAGAUAAAACGAAACCCAUUCACAUUAUAUGUCAAAUGGAACCUACAAAAGAUGAUUGUCCAAUGUUGAACACAGAUGCAACAUUAUCAUUGAAUGCCAAUAUAGGGGGUUUAGGGGGAGUUUUUCGAAACAGUGUGGGCAAGUGGGUAGUGGGGUACACUGCACGCACAAUUGCACAAGAUAUUUCUCAUCUUGAACUCUUGGCUUUAUUUAUAGGAUUAUAGCUUAUAAUGGAGCACCAUCUAAAGCCAUUGGUGAUAAAUGUGGCUCUACACUAUUGUGUGAUUGCAGGUUCUCCUCCGAUAGCUAGGUAAUCCGGCGCUUAUCCAUAUCUACAGAGAGCAUAAUAGACUAGCGGAUAGUCUAGCGAGAAAGGCCAUCUCCACUGCAUAACCAUCCACAUUAUCUACUCCGUCAACCAUGACUGCUACUACUUUUUGAUUGCCUCCUCAAGAUGUGUUAAACAUUUUGCACGCUGAUAAAUGAGGAGACAUAGUUCCCAAACUUGUGAAGACUUUAGGAGUUUUGUCGCCCAGUACAUCGGUAAAUAUACCUACUAGUACUACUUUAGCUACUACUGGAUAGUCUAUAGAUAUUGCACAAUGUGCAUAUACCAACCAAAUUCUUCUCUGUAAUUUUUGUUAUGAUGCUAAUUUCUCUUAUAUAUAAGUGCAGGAUUGGUGUAGGGGUGUGCAUCGAUCGAUUUUUGUGUGUUAUUAGUUCGAUUUAUCGAUUUUCGAUUUUUAAAUAUGCAAAACUAAUAACCAACCAAUAAGAUAUUUUUUAUCGAUUUUCGGUUUAUCGAUUUUUGAUUCUUAACGGUUCGAUUUUUGGUUUAACCAAUAAGAAAAAUACUCACAAAAUAAAAAUAGCAACAACCAACAUAAAAAAAACAAAAUCUUAGUUCGCCAAAUCCUACGAGUUUUAGUUUACAAAAAUCUUCAAACUUGAAUUGAAUGUUAGUUGAAAGAAAAAAACAAAUCCUAGUUCUUCAAGCUUUUCAAAAUAUCCAGAUCUUGCCAAAACUCUUCAAACGCUUCAAGCUUUUGAAAAUACCCAAAUCUUGCCAAAAAUCUUCAAACGCUUCAAGCUUUUGAAAAUAUCCAGAUCUUGCCAAAAAUCAGACACCUACAACAUAUCACAUAACACCUUACAAUUCAGUCAUAACCUGAUGAUGAAAGUGAAACAGAUGCUGGCAGAGGCAAAUUCAUAAAUCUAGAGAUUGGAAAGAACAAGGAAACAAAUAAAGAAGCUUGGGUCGAACCAUGAAAAUUCGCUGAAGAGGCCUAAGUACAGAAAAUCAAGAAGUAUACUGUAUACAUAAAUCAAUAUAAGCAAUAGAAAUCUAAACGUAAAUGGAACUCAUUGGUGUUGGCACAUAAACAUACUCUUGUUCCCAACUUUCCACCAAGCUGCUUAUCGCGAGCUGGUAUUAGUGAACUACAUACAACAAGCAACUGUAAAACACUAAUUUCUUCAAGAAGAAAGUUUUUAUAUUGAUUAAAAAACAAAGAAAACAGUAAAACACUACCACAAUCCUGUAAAAUAAGGAUUUUCUAAACCAAAAUCUUCCAGUUUCCAUCAAAUAACAGAUCACUGAACACGCUGUCAAACUUAGAACUAAAUAAAUAAUUCAAAUAACCAGGAAAUCCCCGUAACGACCACCAAUGACAAAUAUAGUUAUUGAACCAGAACAAGCAGUGAGAUAGUGCUUUCAAUGACAUAAUCUGGAUCCCUGAAUACAAAAACAAAAAGAGAGCAUCCCCUACGUAAAGAUCUUAUUCCGGUAGAGUAACUGAUGUAGUCUAGCACACAAACCAAGAGAAAGUCUGCCCAUCAAUGACAGGUAAUAAAAUGUAUUCGAGAAAGUUAAAAUUCAAACUGUAUACUCGGAUGUUCUGAUGAAAUGCGACAUAAGGAAUUGCAAAAUGUUAGAAAGGACAUUUUUUGUGUUCAGGUCCACAACAGAAUACUAGUUUUUGGGAGAAAGGAGAAUUACUUUCAUCUUCUUUUGAAUUGAUAUAAAGUUGACCAGCCCUCUGAUUUAAAAAUAGCAAGAUCUAACAGAUUGUGUGAAAUGACCUUUAUUUAGGGAUGAACUUUUCCAAGCUAUCAUGAGUCUUUCUAGCACGGUUAAUAGCAUGAAUCUGCAUAAAUGGUGGCAUAUCCAAAGACACAACUUUCACACCACUACAAAUAAAGAAAUCACCCAACUCAAUCUUUGAACUGCAAAAUGAUUUCCUCCUUCCACCAUUCUUGAAUUGUAGUGCUAAUAAAGAUUGCUUUUUUAUCUCAUCAAACUCCUUGAACCUUUCAAUGUCUUGACUCUUAGACAAAUUUACACACCCCCUUUUAACAUCCACCUCUUUGUUGAACUCUUUAUUACCCUUAUUAUGGGGCACUUUUUUCACCUUGACCAUAGUAGGGUUCCCAUGUUGAUUUUUUGACUUGGUUAAAGGUGUACAUGAUGAAUCAAGAACUGAUGAACUAGUCCAAGAUUUGGGCUUUAAGUGGUUAUUAAGUGAAUCUGAUGAAUGCCCAGAAGAGUCUUUUGAGUUAGAUUUAAGGAUUUUAUGAUUGGAGAUGUUGUUGUCUAGAGCUAACAUGUGUGUGUCGGAUUCUCCGAAAGUAGUACUAUAUUUUUUCGUCGAAAGUGAAGAGUCCGCGCAACUUAAUUUAAAAUUCGGUUGGACAUUUGGGUGAAAUGGAGGAUAAGUGACCAUAACGAUGAGAACACCAUGCCCGCAACUGGUUACAACACUGUUUAGGUACUAAAGCCUACUUGAUCAAAAAUGCAUUGACCAUAGACUUUUGUGAUAUAAUAAUCCGACGAAAAGAUAUUGAGGGAAACAUGUGAAAUAAUCAGCUACAGAUCAGCAAAUUGACAAAUUCCCUCCAAGAAAAUAAAGAACAAAUGACAUACUGCAUCAUGAGACUAGAAAACAGACAGACCUUCAGUUUCCACCAAAUUUUAUUUCAUAUUGACAUAUGAAUCAAAACUGCUACAAUACGUAGCAGUCAAUGUGAGAACCAAUUAACCAUAUAAUUGUGAUCAACAUGUGGCAGCAUUAAACUCGACACACAAGCUUGUUAAACAUCAAGAAUCACAUUCCAUCCGAAGACCCAGUUCAUAGAACUAGGAACAGCCUAAUUGCCAAACAAAGACCCGUUCUUCCUUCAGAGAAAAUUUAAGCAAGCAAUAUUGGAUUUACAUAGUUGUUAGACUAUUCAUUGUAUUCAAUGACUAAUUUUAAGAAAAUAUAUGACUUAAAACAAAUUAUAGCUAGGAUAGGUGGCUUACCAGAUGCCCAGAUUCAAGUGCAAAAAAGAAGAACCUCAACUCCACGUCAAUCAUCAAGAAUGCUAGUAUUAGCCAAUUCUACAGAGAAUUUAUAUUAAUCGGUCACAAAACUGUUAACGACUGUUUACAAUAAUAAUACAAAACUAAUACAAUUAGAAUAUUUUUACCUUGUUCAAGCUUUUUGAGGACAUCUAUAUCUUCCUCAAUACUAAUAGGUUGUGAUUCACUCCAAAUACAAUCUUGAAGGCACACUAGAUUUUGCACCAAUUUAGGAGUUAAUGAACUCCAAAAUGAAUCCAAGAUACGUCCACCGGUACUAAACGCACACUCGGAUGCCACGCUUGAAAUGGGAAUAGCAACACAUCCCGAGCCAUCUCAACAAGAAUAGGAAAUCUGGGUGAAUGUAUUUUCCACCAAGACAAGACGUUGAAGUUCUUGGUUUCACCUUCAUUUGCUUCAUCAAGAUACUUUUGCAGUUCUGUUUUAACUGUUGUUGUAUUUCCAGCUUUAUGUUUCAUAAGAUCAUCCAUAAAUGACCCUAAAGACCCUAUCGAUUGAACAGUACUACCAGAACUCGAAGGCAGUGAACUAGAAUUUUCAAAUAAAGAGCUAGAUGAAGAUGAAGAAUGUUGACUAUCUUUAUCAAUUGAAAAAAACUUUACAUACUCACCAUACAUCAAAUUCAUGUAGUCUUUCACCCUGCUCUCUAAAACUAGUCCUUCUUUCCCAAACAUCAUCCGAAGAGCGAAACCAACCAAAACAAACUUGUGCCGAGGAUCCAGAACACAAGAAAUAAAAAUCAUCUUAUUCAUUUUCUUUGGACUACCCCCAAUACUUAUCAAACUUUUCUUUCAUAUUCGAUGCAAUUUUACCCAAAAGAUCAUCACCAUCAUCGUCACUCGAUAUCAACUGCUUCAAAUAACAAGAAAGCUCCCAAAUUUUAAGAAAGUGUAAAUUUAAUGUGACAUAGAGUGAUUCAGAUACUUCUUUGGUUAGAUCAUAAUUACAUGGUCCCAGUCAUCACUCGAAAGUGCACCGGCAGCAGUUCUCUCUUCAUCAUCAACAAACUGAAGGUAAUGUGAUAAGCCCAAUAUCACGAUCAACAUAACUCAAAAACCCAUUUUCACACUCAAUCGCCCUAUUCAACAUCAAGUAUGUGGAGUUCCACCUCGAAGAAACAUCCAAACAUAACGAUUUUUUACUAUUGAUAUCAACAUCUUCACAACAUUCUUGAAACCUCUUACACCUUGCAGGGGACUGCCUUAUGUAUUUCACUGUUUUUCUAACCCUUUCAAUGGACAUGCUAGGCACUUUCAAACAUCAAGUAUGUGGAGUUCCACCUCGUAGAAACAUCCAAACAUAACGAUUUUUUACUAUUGAUAUCAACAUCUUCACAACAUUCUUGAAACCUCUUACACCUUGCAGGGGACUGCCUUAUGUAUUUCACUGCUUUUCUAACCCUUUCAAUGGACAUGCUAGUCACUUUCAAACCAUCUUGGACAAUAAGAUUAAUAAUGUGAGACAUACACCUUACAUGAAGUUGUUCUCCGUUCAUGAAAUUAGUUUCCCAUUUAGUGAAUGUCUUAGCUAACUCUUUCACAGUCACAUUGUUCGAACUAGCAUUAUUGACUGUGAUGGUAAAAAUUUUAUCUAUGCCCCAAUCACGUAAACACUUACUAAUCUCAUUAGCCAUGUCUUCACCUCUGUGGCUAGUAAUUGGACAAAAGUUAAUUAUUCUCUUGUGCAUAAUCCAUUUACUGUCGAUCCAAUGUGCAGUGAUGCACAUAUAAUUAAUUCGCUGCAAAGAGGUCCAAGUAUCAGUGGUAAGACAGACUCUUUGUUGGGCUUCUCUAAAUGACCUUUUCAACUUCUGUUUCUCUUCAUCAAAUAGUUUAAAACAGUCACGUGUCACAGUGGUACGAGAAGGAAUCUUAAAAUGAGGUUGCGCUACUUUCAUAAAGUUUCUAAAACCUUCCUUCUCAACAAAUCUGAAGGGGAGUUCAUCCACAAUCACCAUGCGAUAUAAAGCUCUCCUACAUUGUUCUUGCUCAAAUUUCCACGAAACAACAGCCACAUCACCUGCAACACCCCCUCAACAGAUUGAAAGCCUAUUUCGGUUUUAUUUUUGUCAGCAGAUUGAUUUCGAGGCAUCUUUGGACAUGUUAACAAAUGAGUAAGCAUUAACGUCAUACCAUUUUUACUUGAAUCAGCAAAAUAAUCUUGACCACAAUGCUUACACUUUGAUUUCUUAUUUCCUUCUUCAUCAACAAAUGAUCCAAAAUGAUUCCAUGCACGAGACCUUUUUUUUUCUUUCUUUCUUUACCUUCAUCUGGACAAAAUUUGUUUGACGCGCAAUAUUUGAAUUAAUGCUCUAAUCGGCUAGGAUCACUGCCUCAUCAGUUGUAGUAUUUUCAGCCAUAUGUAUGUCACUGUAAAAUAGAAUUUAGACAAUAAUUAGACAACAAAUCAUGAAAUACUUUCAAAGUAAACAAAAAUUAAGAAAUUCUUAAAAGGAAUCUUGAACAAUAUUGAAAUUGAAAUUGAAAUUUAACUCCAAUUGUCAAGUUUGAUUCGGGUCCGGUACAGAAAAGCAGUGGUGGAUGUACAUGUAUUCCAGGCUUCAUCAAAACCCCUUCGUCGGAAAAUUAUACUAUUUUUACAUGGUAAAAAAAAAUUAUGUAUAAAUAAUAGAGGCUGCGGCUAGUCUGUAUAUGUACUACUGACCUCACUCAAAAUCCUGGUUUCGCCCCUGCAGAAAAGGAUAGACGAGUUUGAAUAAUUACUCACGAGUCAGUAACGUUGAUAAAAUCCUCACCGUCCGUUGACCCUCGCCGUUGUCGUAGCCGGAGUGCCGGUUGCUCGACACCCUCGUCGUUUCGCCUCUCCAGUUGUCGCCUUGUCGGUUGAGUCUUUAGUGGACUGGUUUGCUUCAACUUUGUGAAUUGUUGUGACUGUCUGACUGCUUUAAGAAUGUGAAUAUUUAUCUCCCUUAACUGUAUCGUAUAUAAUAUUAAUAGAUAAUAAAUAAUAUAACUAUUUAUUUAUAUAAUACAUAAAUAGGGGUAGAUUAAUAAUUUUAGUGUAUUCAUAUUGGGUUAUCGGUUUAACUGAUCACCCAAUAGGUUAAAAAUUAAAAUUGAAUCGAUUAUUCAAUAAAUUUUUUUAUAAAAUCAAUAACAAAUCAAUAACCCAAUAUCAAUAACCCAAUAGUAUUUUUAUUGGUUCGAUUUAUUGAUCGGUUCGAUUUUUGCACAGCCCUAGAUUUAUGUACCUAAUUUAUCUUUUUUUGGCUACACCAAUCCUUUUUUUUUUUUUUUUAUUAUUAUUAUUAUUAUUAUUAUUAUUAUUAUUAUUAUUAUUAUUAUUAUUAUUACUUUUUUGAGAAAUUAGUAUUAGUAUUAUAUUAUUCAUUUUUUUACUAUCACUAUUACUACUACUAUUAUUAUUAUUAUAUUAUUAUUAUUAUUACUAUUAUUACUUUUUACUAUUACUACUAUUAUUAUUAUUAUCAUAUUAUUAUUAUUAUUAUUAUUAUUACUUUUUUUUUACUAUUACUACUACUACUAUUAUUAUUAUUAUAUUAUUAUUAUUAUUAUUACUAUUACUAUUAUUACUUUAUUUUACUACUAUAUAUAAGUGAAGGUUGGGAUGACUAUCAAGGACUGGGUAUCUCGGUAAUUUUAGUGACCCAUAUUAUUAUUAUUUUACUUUACUUUCCUACUAUAUAUAAGUGAAGGUUGGGUGACUAUCAAGGGUAUUUUGGUAAUUUUAGUGAUUUCAUUUUUUUUUUACUAUUCUAUUACCACCACUACUACUAUUAUUAUAUUAUUAUUUGUUAUAAAUGUAUUUACAUUAUAAUGAAUGUCUAUCAAGAUCUAAUAAGAUCUAUCAAGAUCUAGUUGAUAUCUAUCAGGAUUAGAAGUAUCUGUCUUUUAGUCAUAUACUAUGAGUAUUUUCUUCUAUAAAUAGAGAGGUUUUGUUCAUUGUAAUUCUUAAGAAUUUUAUGAUCUCAUCCCCCAAGAGAAAUAAUUGUUACUCUCUAUUCUCUCUCUACUUUUCUUCUUUAUUCUUUGUUGUUUUAUUACAAGUUAUCAGCACGAGACUCUACCAAACAAGGUGAGAUUAUAAAUCUAAAGGUAAUUGCAAGGUUGGUAAUUCUUUAUGUUAUCUUUCUUUUGCUACUAAUAAUAUAAUUAUUAUUGAAUUUGAGGAAAAAUAAUUGGUUUCGAAUCAUUUAUGCUUUAAAUUUAUUUCUCAAGAACAAUAUUAUCAAAAAGGGAUGAUAAUAUGUUGUGUUCAAGUCCUAUCGAGUUAUUGCCUAAGACGUCUUUAUAUGGAUAAGAUAUUGAGUUAUUGCCUAAGGCAUAAUAAUGGGUGCUUGAUCAAAAGUCAUAAACCAUAUCCCAUUAAUAUGCUUUAUUCCAUGAAGUGAAUAUGGUAGCAAUAUAUGAUAAGUCUGAAAUACGACAACUUACUUCAUUUUUUAAGUGUAUGUGAUAGCAGUGCAUAAUAUGUCUGCAAGAAGACGAGUGAUUGAAUGCACGAAUAUACGCGUGGAGGGACAAUAUGAUAAUAAUCAUCAAAAGUGAUGAUAUUUUCACGCGCAUAUUAUGAUCAUAAGAUAUGUUAGAGAAAAAUUCUUUAAAUCAUAUGUACGUCUCGAUUUGCUCCUGAAGUAGCAAUAUCAUAAAAAAAGGUUAUAAGCUAUCAAUUUGAUAGGCUUAAGACACGAUUAUAUUUCAUUCAUAAGAAUGAGAAUUUUAAUUAUUAUAAGCAUAGAUCUAUUCCCUGAGUGAAUGUGAUAAUAUUUAGUAAAGCUUAUCAAUACAAACGUGUACUUGAUUAUGAUGGUAUCACAACUUAUCUCCGAACAAGGCAGAAUAACUAAGACGAGUUAUUUCGAAAUCUACUUCUAAAGUAGUAAAUCUGAAAUUAAUUCAUGUAAUAGUAAAUCUAAAAUUCACUAAAGUGUAAAAGGUACAUGUCAUGGUAAAUUUGGAGUUUACUAGAAUAAAAGUUCAUAAAUUGAUAUACGAUUGCGACAUGUCAAAAAUGUGCAUACUGAGUAUUGAACAUAUAUUGAAGAAUUAGAAAAUUCUUUAUGGACUUGCUUGUUCUCAUCAUAAGUUAGUUGGACCAACUAAUAUUGGGAUUUGAUUCCUCAAAAUCUGAAAAAUAUAAAAGGUGAAUAUGGGCUCGUUCACCUUUCAUGUGAUAUAUUGAAAAGAUGCAUCAAUAAGAUAAUCACAUAUACAUUCAUUGUCAACCUGUAAUUUGACAUUCAUAAAGUUGUUUGCUCAAUGAAAUUGAGUUAAGAGCACAACUUUCAGAUUGUGUAAUCAAGACAAUUUAUCUUGAUGAUGAUGGUUUGGCAUUGAAUGUCUUCGAUAAAUAGCUAAAUCUUUGCUAAUGAGAAAAAGCAUCAUGUGUUGGUCUAAAAUAUAAUAUAUUACAUACAAUAGCACUUGUAUGCAUUAGACCAAUAGAUUAUGAUUAUUUUCCCCCUUUCAAUUGGUUCAAGGUCAUGAAUCAAAUAUUCCAUCUAAUAACUUUGAUGUGCGGUAUACAAUUAAUGAAUAUACCAUGAUGCAUAAAGAUGGAUUCCUCAGAAAAGAUGGAGGAUGUAUGUUUGUUUUUCUAACAUAAGGGGGAGAUUAUAAGUGGCUAUAAAAUAUGUUAGGAAUUAUCACCAGAUCCUCAUUCAAAAGAUAAUUCUAGUCAAAUGUCGAAUGCAUCUCAUAUUUAAGCUGCAAGUGCUCCUAUUUUGUGUCCUUAAAGGACAAAGUCUAUGCAUGCAUGAAGCAUGGUAGACCAAUCAAUUCCAAAUAAAAUAAUCCUUGAAAAAUAAGGAGCAAAUAAUUAUAAUAAGAAGGCAAUGUGCUCUUGAAGAGCCUACGACAUAACACUUCAUGAAACCUUAUGAGAGGUUCAGGUACCUGAAAAUAAUGAAGUGAUGAGAUCUCAAAAUGUUAUGUCACAUUAUGAAUAUAUAUGAAAUGAUAUAUCAUCAAUGAUAUCUUUGAUACAGUAUUGGCGCAAUAUUGUGAAAGAUUACGAGGAUCCGAAUUCUACGUUUAUUUAAGCAUGCUGACGUAGAAACAUUUAUCAAGUGACAUGAAAGGGUGUAUCUUGGUAAGUGAAAACUUAUUUGAUUUGCACUCCACACAUUUGAAGAUGUCACACAUGAAAUGUUGAAUAUUGUCACUUGACAAAAUAUAUCUUGCAAAUACUACAAGGCCUAAUAUAGCCUUUUCGAUUAAUUUGUUAGUAAAGUAUAGUUUUGCUCCUACUAGGAGACAUCGAAAUGGGAUAAAAAAUAUGAUCUUAUAUUAUUCUAAAGAUUGUAGUCUCGAUCUUAUUGAUUAUGCUGAAGCUAGGUAUUUAAUUAACCCGCAUAGAUUUUGACUCAAACAGGCUAUGUGUUCAUAUGUGGGGAUAUUGUCAUAUCUUAGAGAUAUACAAAGUAGUCUAUCGUAGCCACUUCAUCGAAUCAUACUGAGAAAAUAGCUAUUCAUGAAGCAAGCCGAGAAUAUGUAUGGUUGGGGUCCAUGAUACAUCUCAUUCGAGAAUAAUGUGGUUUGAAAUGUGAUAAUAUACCCACAAUUUUAUAUGGAUAUAAUGCAGCAUGCAUGACACAUCUUAAAAGGGGAUUCAUAAAAGGAGAUAGAACGAAGCACACUUCAUCAAAACUUUUUAUACAUGAGCUCCAAAAGAAUGGUGAAAUUAAUGUGACAGA
Molecule: long non-coding RNA, 10407 nt
Filed under: Capsicum annuum
Lineage: Eukaryota; Viridiplantae; Streptophyta; Magnoliopsida; Solanales; Solanaceae
Description: long non-coding RNA (CANN_LNC014398)
Source: RNAcentral